GACUAACGCUGGCGGCGUGCUUAACACAUGCAAGUCGAACGGAAAGGCCCUGCUUUUGUGGGGUGCUCGAGUGGCGAACGGGUGAGUAACACGUGAGUAACCUGCCCUUGACUUUGGGAUAACUUCAGGAAACUGGGGCUAAUACCGGAUAGGAGCUCCUGCUGCAUGGUGGGGGUUGGAAAGUUUCGGCGGUUGGGGAUGGACUCGCGGCUUAUCAGCUUGUUGGUGGGGUAGUGGCUUACCAAGGCUUUGACGGGUAGCCGGCCUGAGAGGGUGACCGGCCACAUUGGGACUGAGAUACGGCCCAGACUCCUACGGGAGGCAGCAGUGGGGAAUAUUGCACAAUGGGCGGAAGCCUGAUGCAGCAACGCCGCGUGCGGGAUGACGGCCUUCGGGUUGUAAACCGCUUUCGCCUGUGACGAAGCGUGAGUGACGGUAAUGGGUAAAGAAGCACCGGCUAACUACGUGCCAGCAGCCGCGGUGAUACGUAGGGUGCGAGCGUUGUCCGGAUUUAUUGGGCGUAAAGGGCUCGUAGGUGGUUGAUCGCGUCGGAAGUGUAAUCUUGGGGCUUAACCCUGAGCGUGCUUUCGAUACGGGUUGACUUGAGGAAGGUAGGGGAGAAUGGAAUUCCUGGUGGAGCGGUGGAAUGCGCAGAUAUCAGGAGGAACACCAGUGGCGAAGGCGGUUCUCUGGGCCUUUCCUGACGCUGAGGAGCGAAAGCGUGGGGAGCGAACAGGCUUAGAUACCCUGGUAGUCCACGCUGUAAACGGUGGGUACUAGGUGUGGGGUCCAUUCCACGGGUUCCGUGCCGUAGCUAACGCUUUAAGUACCCCGCCUGGGGAGUACGGCCGCAAGGCUAAAACUCAAAGGAAUUGACGGGGCCCCGCACAAGCGGCGGAGCAUGCGGAUUAAUUCGAUGCAACGCGUAGAACCUUACCUGGGUUUGACAUGGAUCGGGAGCGCUCAGAGAUGGGUGUGCCUCUUUUGGGGUCGGUUCACAGGUGGUGCAUGGCUGUCGUCAGCUCGUGUCGUGAGAUGUUGGGUUAAGUCCCGCAACGAGCGCAACCCUUGUUCACUGUUGCCAGCACGUUAUGGUGGGGACUCAGUGGAGACCGCCGGGGUCAACUCGGAGGAAGGUGGGGAUGACGUCAAGUCAUCAUGCCCCUUAUGUCCAGGGCUUCACGCAUGCUACAAUGGCUGGUACAGAGAGUGGCGAGCCUGUGAGGGUGAGCGAAUCUCGGAAAGCCGGUCUCAGUUCGGAUUGGGGUCUGCAACUCGACCUCAUGAAGUCGGAGUCGCUAGUAAUCGCAGAUCAGCAACGCUGCGGUGAAUACGUUCCCGGG
This 1343-nucleotide ribosomal RNA is filed under the name uncultured bacterium. RNAcentral describes it as "16S ribosomal RNA". It matches the Rfam family "Bacterial small subunit ribosomal RNA", at positions 28 to 1378 of the family's 1533-position model. The record is from RNAcentral.